Molecule: ribosomal RNA, 492 nt
Filed under: uncultured bacterium
Lineage: Bacteria
Description: partial 16S ribosomal RNA
Rfam family: Bacterial small subunit ribosomal RNA
Source: RNAcentral
AGUGAACGCUGGCGGUAGGCCUAACACAUGCAAGUCGAACGGCAGCACAGUAAGAGCUUGCUCUUACGGGUGGCGAGUGGCGGACGGGUGAGGAAUACAUCGGAAUCUACUUUUUCGUGGGGGAUAACGUAGGGAAACUUACGCUAAUACCGCAUACGACCUACGGGUGAAAGCAGGGGAUCUUCGGACCUUGCGCGAUUGAAUGAGCCGAUGUCGGACUAGCUAGUUUGCGGGGUAAAGGCCCACCAAGGCGACGAUCCGUAGCUGGUCUGAGAGGAUGAUCAGCCACACUGGAACUGAGACACGGUCCAGACUCCUACGGGAGGAAGCAGUGGGGAAUAUUGGACGAUGGGCGAAAGGCUGAUCCAGCCAUACCGCGUGGGUGAAGAAGGACUUCGGGUUGGAAAGCCCUUUUGUUGGGAAAGAAAAGCAGCAGGUUAAUACCCCGCUGUUCUGACGGUACCCAAAGAAGAAGCACCGGCUAACUUCGUG